Molecule: ribosomal RNA, 414 nt
Filed under: uncultured bacterium
Lineage: Bacteria
Description: bacterial SSU rRNA
Rfam family: Bacterial small subunit ribosomal RNA
Source: RNAcentral
UCGAGGAUCUUCGGCAAUGGGCGCAAGCCUGACCGAGCGACGCCGCGUGUGCGAUGAAGGCCUUCGGGUUGUAAAGCACUGUCGAGGGGGAGGAAAGCCCGCAAGGGCCUGACCUAUCCCUGGAGGAAGCACGGGCUAAGUUCGUGCCAGCAGCCGCGGUAAGACGAACCGUGCGAACAUUGUUCGGAUUCACUGGGCUUAAAGGGCGCGUAGGCGGCUACACAAGUCGGGGGUGAAAUCUUUCGGCCCAACCGGAAAAGAGCUUUCGAUACUGUGUAGCUGGAGGGGGGUAGGGGCACGCGGAACUUCCGGUGGAGCGGUGAAAUGCGUAGAUAUCGGAAGGAACGCCGGUGGCGAAAGCGGCGUGCUGGACCCCCACUGACGCUGAGGCGCGAAAGCCAGGGGAGCAAACGG